GGGGGUAUAGCUCAGUGAUAGAGCAUUCGACUGCAGAUCGAGAGGUCCCGGUUUAAAAACCCGGUGCCCCUU
This 72-nucleotide transfer RNA is filed under the name Caerostris extrusa. RNAcentral's name for it is "tRNA-Cys". It matches the Rfam family "tRNA". From Rfam's summary of the family: Transfer RNA (tRNA) molecules are approximately 80 nucleotides in length. Their secondary structure includes four short double-helical elements and three loops (D, anti-codon, and T loops). Further hydrogen bonds mediate the characteristic L-shaped molecular structure. tRNAs have two regions of fundamental functional importance: the anti-codon, which is responsible for specific mRNA codon recognition, and the 3' end, to which the tRNAs corresponding amino acid is attached (by aminoacyl-tRNA synthetases). tRNAs cope with the degeneracy of the genetic code in two manners: having more than one tRNA (with a specific anti-codon) for a particular amino acid; and 'wobble' base-pairing, i.e. permitting non-standard base-pairing at the 3rd anti-codon position. Lineage: Eukaryota; Metazoa; Arthropoda; Arachnida; Araneae; Araneidae. The record is from RNAcentral.